This 459-nucleotide ribosomal RNA is filed under the name uncultured bacterium. RNAcentral's name for it is "partial 16S ribosomal RNA". It matches the Rfam family "Bacterial small subunit ribosomal RNA", at positions 338 to 795 of the family's 1533-position model. The record is from RNAcentral.
CCUACGGGUGGCAGCAGUGAGGAAUAUUGGUCAAUGGCCGGAAGGCUGAACCAGCCAAGUCGCGUGAAGGACGACGGUGCCAAGAGUUGUAAACUUCUUUUGUCCAGGGAUAAACUUAGGCUCGUGUGCCUGACUGAGAGUACUUGAAGAAUAAGGAUCGGCUAACUCCGUGCCAGCAGCCGCGGUAAUACGGAGGAUGCGAGCGUUAUCCGGAUUUAUUGGGUUUAAAGGGUGCGUAGGCGGAGGGGCAAGUCAGUGGUAAAAUUGAGGGGCUCAACCUCUUCCCGCCAUUGAAACUGGGGUUCUUGAGUGGGAGAGAAGUACGCGGAAUGCGUGGUGUAGCGGUGAAAUGCAUAGAUAUCACGCAGAACCCCGAUUGCGAAGGCAGCGUACCGGCGCCCAACUGACGCUCAUGCACGAAAGCGUGGGGAUUGAACAGGAUUAGAUACCCCUGUAGUC